Molecule: ribosomal RNA, 435 nt
Filed under: uncultured bacterium
Lineage: Bacteria
Description: partial 16S ribosomal RNA
Rfam family: Bacterial small subunit ribosomal RNA
Source: RNAcentral
GAUGAACGCUGGCGGUAUGCUUAACACAUGCAAGUCGAACGGACUCUUCGGAGUUAGUGGCGGACGGGUGAGUAACGCGUGAGAAUCUGGCUUUGGGUUCGGGACAACCACUGGAAACGGUGGCUAAUACCGGAUGUGCCGAGAGGUAAAAGAGAAAUUGCCUGAAGAUGAGCUGGCGUCUGAUUAGCUAGUUGGUGAGGUAAAGGCUCACCAAGGCAGCGAUCAGUAGCUGGUCUGAGCGGAUGACCAGCCACACUGGGACUGAGACACGGCCCAGACUACUACGGGAGGCAGCGGUGGGGAAUUAUCCGCAAUGGGCGAAAGCCUGACGGAGCACUACCGCGUGAGGGAAGAAGGCUCUUGGGUUGUAAACCUCUUUUCUUAGGGAAGAACAAAAUGACGGUACCUAAGGAAUCAGCAUCGGCUAACUCCGUG